This 441-nucleotide ribosomal RNA is filed under the name uncultured bacterium. Its description in RNAcentral is "partial 16S ribosomal RNA". It matches the Rfam family "Bacterial small subunit ribosomal RNA", at positions 338 to 795 of the family's 1533-position model. The record is from RNAcentral.
CCUACGGGAGGCAGCAGUGGGGAAUAUUGCACAAUGGGGGAAACCCUGAUGCAGCAACGCCGCGUGAGUGAAGAAGUAUUUCGGUAUGUAAAGCUCUAUCAGCAGGGAAGAAGAAAGACGGUACCUGACUAAGAAGCCCCGGCUAACUACGUGCCAGCAGCCGCGGUAAUACGUAGGGGGCAAGCGUUAUCCGGAUUUACUGGGUGUAAGGGGAGCGUAGACGGCAGCACAAGUCUGGGGUGAAAUCCCGGGGCUUAACCCCGGAACUGCUUUGGAAACUGGGCGGCUGGAGUGCAGGAGGGGUAAGCGGAAUUCCUAGUGUAGCGGUGAAAUGCGUAGAUAUUAGGAGGAACACCGGUGGCGAAGGCGGCUUACUGGACUGUAACUGACGUUGAGGCUCGAAAGCGUGGGGAGCAAACAGGAUUAGAUACCCGAGUAGUC